AUGGCCGGCGCGGAGGCAAGCACCGGGAGCGCCCAGAGGGGGGAUACCCUUCCGAAUGGAGACGUCUAUGUGGGCAACUUCGAUGGGCUAGUGCCUCACGGAAUGGGGAAGUAUAUGUGGACGGACGGGUCCCUUUAUGACGGCGAAUGGGAUAGAAGCAAAAUGACCGGGAGAGGAAUGAUCCAGUGGCCUUCAGGCGCAUCCUACGAAGGCGACUUCCGGGGAGGUUUCAUCGACGGAACGGGCACUUUCAAGGGGGUCGACGGCUCGGUUUACAAAGGGUCUUGGAGGAUGAACAAGAAGCAGGGAAUGGGGACAAUGGUUUACUCCAACUCUGACAGUUAUGAAGGCUUGUGGAACGAGGGUUUGCCGGAUGGAUACGGUAAAUAUACAUGGGCUGCUGGCAACAUCUACAUCGGAAGCUGGAAGUCAGGUAGCAUGAACGGCCGAGGCGUAAUGCAGUGGAUACAUGGUGAUACUCUUGACUGUAAUUGGCUCAGUGGGCUGGCUCAUGGGAAAGGCUACUGCAAAUACGCAUCAGGCGCAUGUUACAUUGGUACGUGGGAUAGGGGAGUCAAGGAUGGCCAUGGCAUAUUUUAUCAACCGGGAAGUAAAAUACCUUGUAACCUUGAAGUUUCUGAGUGUGCAACAAAUAAUGAUGGUACAAGUGCUUCAAGUUCUAGUAAUGAAAAGGUCAAAGUUGGACUGUUGUUUCUAUUGCAAAAUCUGUGCAACAAAUGGGGGCUGCGUAGGUUUUUUCAUCGCCCCAGGCGCAUUUCAAAUGGCACAACGCCAAUUUUUGUUGAUGAUUCCGGAAAUCACCUAUCACAAGAUCUUCCCAAUAAAUCCUUGUCAAGUAACGAGCAUUUACAAAACAGUGAUGUUCAUAAGGAUUUGGUCUACGAACGGGAAUAUAUACAAGGAGUUCUUAUCUCCGAACAGCCAAAGGGCAAACAUUCUGGAAUGUUGGACAGCGGUGAAACACAGGAAAAUACCUGGCAAAAACAAGAAAGAGGGCCAAUGGAGACUAUUUACAAGGGUCACAGGAGCUAUUUUCUAAUGCUUAAUUUGCAACUCGGCAUCAGGUAUACCGUGGGUAAAAUCACCCCUGUACCUUUGCGUGAGGUUCGUUCAAAUGAUUUUGGACCUAGGGCCCGGAUAAUAAUGUACUUCCCUUGUGAAGGCUCGCAGUAUACCCCUCCACACUGCUCUGUCAAUUUCUUUUGGAAAGACUAUUGUCCUAUGGUCUUCCGGAAUCUUCGGGAAAUGUUUCAUAUUGAUGCCGCAGAUUACAUGAUGUCCAUAUGUGGGGGUGAUAGUCUAAAGGAGCUUUCUUCACCUGGGAAAAGUGGCAGUAUUUUCUAUCUUUCCCAGGACGAACGAUUUGUUAUAAAAACAUUGAGAAAAAGUGAACUGAAGAUACUGUUGAAGAUGCUUCCAAAAUAUUACAAUCAUGUCAAAGCUUAUGAUAAUACUCUCAUUACGAAAUUUUUUGGCGUGCACAGGAUUACGCUAAAAGCUGGAAAAAAGGUCCGUUUUGUUGUGAUGGGUAAUAUGUUCUGCACUGAGCUGCGAAUUCACCGUAAGUACGACUUAAAGGGAUCUACACAGGGGCGGUCAACAAAAAAGCAAAAAAUUAAUGAGAACACAACAUUGAAGGAUCUUGACCUAGCACAUGCAUUUCAUGUUGAUAAAUCAUGGAGGGAAGCGCUUUUCAGGCAGAUAGCUCUUGAUAGUAUGUUCCUGGAAUCCCAAUCGAUUAUUGACUAUAGCAUGCUAUUGGGAAUCCAUUUCAGAGCUCCCAAUCACUUGAAGACUGCCACAUCACAUCAGAAUACACUUGAAAGCAGUGGAAUUACAUCUGCAACGGAUAGUAGCGUGCCACUGCAUUGUGAGGAUGUGAAUUCCUCGAAGGGAUUUCUUCUAGUUGCUCACGAGCCAGGUACAACAGUAGGCGGUUCCCACAUCAGAGGAAGCAUGGUUAGAGCAUCAGAAGGUGGUUACGAAGAAGUCGAUCUUGUUCUGCCAGGCACCGGCAGAUUCCGUGUGCAGCUAGGGGUGAACAUGCCAGCCCGAGCUCGGAAAUUGCUGGAAAGCACGGACGCGGUCGAGGAGUACGACGUCGUGCUCUACCUCGGCAUCAUAGACAUACUGCAGGAGUACAACACGUCCAAGAGGGUGGAGCAUGCGGUCAAAUCGCUCAAGUUCGACCCGCUUUCUAUAUCAUCUGUUGAUCCGAACUUGUAUUCGAAACGAUUCGUUAGUUUCCUCGAGAGGGUUUUCCCUGAGCAAGACUAA
This 2298-nucleotide ribosomal RNA is filed under the name Triticum aestivum (bread wheat). RNAcentral's name for it is "partial small subunit ribosomal RNA". Lineage: Eukaryota; Viridiplantae; Streptophyta; Magnoliopsida; Poales; Poaceae. The record is from RNAcentral.